Molecule: ribosomal RNA, 466 nt
Filed under: uncultured bacterium
Lineage: Bacteria
Description: bacterial SSU rRNA
Rfam family: Bacterial small subunit ribosomal RNA
Source: RNAcentral
GCACCAGACUCCUACGGGAGGCAGCAGUGAGGAAUAUUGGUCAAUGGCCGAAGGGCUGAACCAGCCAAGCCGCGUGAAGGAAUAAGGCCCUACGGGUCGUAAACUUCUUUAGUCAGGGAACAAAGGGAGCCACGCGUGGCGCUGUGAGUGUACCUGAAGAAUAAGCAUCGGCUAACUCCGUGCCAGCAGCCGCGGUAAUACGGAGGAUGCGAGCGUUAUCCGGAUUUAUUGGGUUUAAAGGGUGCGUAGGCGGGAUGCCAAGUCAGCGGUAAAAAUGCGGUGCUCAACGCCGUCGAGCCGUUGAAACUGGCGUUCUUGAGUGGGCGAGAAGUAUGCGGAAUGCGUGGUGUAGCGGUGAAAUGCAUAGAUAUCACGCAGAACUCCGAUUGCGAAGGCAGCAUACCGGCGCCCUACUGACGCUGAGGCACGAAAGCGUGGGGGGCAAACAGGAUUAGAUACCCGGGUA